GACGAACGCUGGCGGCGUGCUUAACACAUGCAAGUCGAACGGAAAGGCCCUGCUUUUGUGGGGUUCUCGAGUGGCGAACGGGUGAGUAACACGUGAGUAACCUGCCCUUGACUUUGGUAUAACUUCAGGAAACUGGGGCUAAUACCGUAUAGGAGCUCCUGCUGCAUGGUGGGGGUUGGAAAGUUUCGGCGGUUGGGGAUGGACUCGCGGCUUAUCAGCUUGUUGGUGGGGUAGUGGCUUACCAAGGCUUUGACGGGUAGCCGGCCUGAGAGGGUGACCGGCCACAUGGGGACUGAGAUACGGCGCAGACUGCUACGGGAGGCAGCAGUGGGGAAUAUUGCACAAUGGGCGGAAGCCUGAUGCAGAAACGCCGCGGGCGGGAUGACGGCCUUCGGGGUGUAAACCGCUGUAGCCUGUGACGAAGCGGGAGUGACGGUAAUGGGUAAAGAAGCACCGGCUAACUACGUG
Molecule: ribosomal RNA, 468 nt
Filed under: uncultured bacterium
Lineage: Bacteria
Description: partial 16S ribosomal RNA
Rfam family: Bacterial small subunit ribosomal RNA
Source: RNAcentral